Molecule: long non-coding RNA, 406 nt
Organism: Bombus impatiens (common eastern bumble bee)
Lineage: Eukaryota; Metazoa; Arthropoda; Insecta; Hymenoptera; Apidae
Exons: 2
Source: RefSeq, a predicted model, not a curated record
GAAUAUAUUAAUUAAUUUUUCUUUUUUUCUAAAAAGAAUAGAAUAAACAAUUAACUUUUCUUCCUAAGGCAACUAAGAUUAAUUAUUGUGCUCGGACAGAAAAGUAUGAACAUUUUCGUAGAACCGCACAAUGAAAUAAGCUCUUGCAGCAUAGAAUCACAGCGAGUAUAUUUCAUUUGCGGUGGAACUAAAUAGAUUUUUGUAUGAUAGCGUGGAACGCCUUCAGUUCUUGGUCGCUGGGGGCAGUAUUAAUCUGAGAAUAACCUUAUAAAUGUAGCAUUCGUUCCCUCUUUGGUAAUACUAUUCCCUAAUUAAUUCAAAGAUACAUACAACAUACACACACAAACUGCCUGCCCCUUAAUAUAAAAACGUGAUAUUGGUCUAAUGGGUCUAACUAAUGACUAAU